CCAUCCCAGUUCGGAUUGCAGGCUGCAACCCGCCUGUAUGAAGUUGGAAUCGCUAGUAAUCGCGGAUCAGCAUGCCGCGGUGAAUACGUUCCCGGGCCUUGUACACACCGCCCGUCACACCAUGAGAGUCGGGAACACCCGAAGUCCGUAGCCUAACCGCAAGGAGGGCGCGGCCGAAGGUGGGUUCGAUAAUUGGGGUGAAGUCGUAACAAGGUAGC
RNAcentral lists this ribosomal RNA (218 nucleotides) under uncultured bacterium. Its description in RNAcentral is "partial 16S ribosomal RNA". It matches the Rfam family "Bacterial small subunit ribosomal RNA", at positions 1283 to 1500 of the family's 1533-position model. The record is from RNAcentral.